CAGAGACCACGGUCCCCUCUGCGCCAUCUGGGAGAUUGGUGUCUCCCCUUGGUAGGGUAAGCUGCCGCUGGGGAGAUAGGGUGCUGUGCUCCUCUCCCUGAAACACAGGCUGCCGCUGGAGAGGGAGACCGCCUGUCUCCACUCCCAUAACAUUGUCCUGCGGCUGGAGAGAGAGACCAACUGUCUCUGCUCCCUGUAGGACACACUGCUGCUGGGGGGGAAGGACGACACCUUC
This 235-nucleotide long non-coding RNA is filed under the name Pelobates cultripes (western spadefoot toad). Lineage: Eukaryota; Metazoa; Chordata; Amphibia; Anura; Pelobatidae. The record is from RNAcentral.